CGCAACCCCUGUCCUUAGUUGCCAUCAUUUAGUUGGGGCACUCUAAGGAGACUGCCGGUGUUAAACCGGAGGAAGGUGGGGAUGACGUCAAGUCCUCAUGGCCCUUAUGUCCAGGGCUACACACGUGCUACAAUGGCCGGUACAAAGGGCAGCAAAGCCGCGAGGUGGAGCCAAUCCCAGAAAGCCGGUCUCAGUUCGGAUUGGAGUCUGCAACUCGACUCCAUGAAGUUGGAAUCGCUAGUAAUCGCGGAUCAGCAUGCCGCGGUGAAUACGUUCCCGGGCCUU
Molecule: ribosomal RNA, 285 nt
Filed under: uncultured Desulfuromonas sp.
Lineage: Bacteria; Pseudomonadati; Thermodesulfobacteriota; Desulfuromonadia; Desulfuromonadales; Desulfuromonadaceae
Description: partial 16S ribosomal RNA
Rfam family: Bacterial small subunit ribosomal RNA
Source: RNAcentral